RNAcentral lists this ribosomal RNA (623 nucleotides) under uncultured bacterium. Its description in RNAcentral is "bacterial SSU rRNA". It matches the Rfam family "Bacterial small subunit ribosomal RNA", at positions 338 to 951 of the family's 1533-position model. The record is from RNAcentral.
CCUACGGGAGGCAGCAGUAGGGGAAUCUUCCGCAAUGGGCGAAAGCCUGACGGAGCAACGCCGCGUGAGUGAUGAAGGUCUUCGGAUCGUAAAACUCUGUUAUCAGGGAAGAACAAAUGUGUAAGUAACUGUGCACAUCUUGACGGUACCUGAUCAGAAAGCCACGGCUAACUACGUGCCAGCAGCCGCGGUAAUACGUAGGUGGCAAGCGUUAUCCGGAAUUAUUGGGCGUAAAGCGCGCGUAGGCGGUUUUUUAAGCUGAUGUGAAAGCCCACGGCUCAACCGUGGAGGGUCAUUGGAAACUGGAAAACUUGAGUGCAGAAGAGGAAAGUGGAAUUCCAUGUGUAGCGGUGAAAUGCGCAGAGAUAUGGAGGAACACCAGUGGCGAAGGCGACUUACUGGUCUGUAACUGACGCUGAUGUGCGAAAGCGUGGGGAUCAAACAGGAUUAGAUACCCUGGUACGUCCACGCCGUAAACGAUGAGUGCUAAGUGUUAGGGGUUUCCGCCCGUUAGUGCUGCAGCUAACGCAGUAAGCACUCCGCCGUGGGGAGUUACGACCGCAAGGUUGAACUUCGAAUUGAAUUGACGGCUUGAGCGNGCGAGGCGACGACGAGGGAGGAGG